GCUCGCGUAGUAUAGUGGUAAGUACCCUCGUUUGUCGUGCGAGAGACCUGGGUUCGAUUCCCAGCGCGAGCG
Transfer RNA from Galdieria sulphuraria, 72 nucleotides. It matches the Rfam family "tRNA". Rfam says of the family: Transfer RNA (tRNA) molecules are approximately 80 nucleotides in length. Their secondary structure includes four short double-helical elements and three loops (D, anti-codon, and T loops). The record is from Rfam. NCBI's taxonomy places the organism in Eukaryota, Rhodophyta, Bangiophyceae, Galdieriales, Galdieriaceae.